Molecule: long non-coding RNA, 619 nt
Organism: Piliocolobus tephrosceles (Ugandan red Colobus)
Lineage: Eukaryota; Metazoa; Chordata; Mammalia; Primates; Cercopithecidae
Exons: 3
Source: RefSeq, a predicted model, not a curated record
AUAAACGUAUGUGUAUUUAUUAUCAUAUGUAUUAUGCAUCCAUUUAUAUGUGUAUAUAUACUCACAUAUUAAAAGCUUUGUGCUUUCAUUGUUGGGUAUAAAGUCAGUUUAUAGUGUUCGUACAUAACUAUUUAAACAGUUUAAAUAGUUUAUAAUUAUUAUUUUGUUUUAUUUUUUUAUUUUUUUAUUUUAUUUUUUAUUUUUUACUGUUCUUUUUGGUGUUUUUAAUGAUCUCUUAAUGAAGUCUCAGAUUCCUUCUUAUCCUAUGCCAAACAACUCGACAAAAUAACAGCUUCACAUACAUAUCAACUCGAAAUUUUGUUUAAAUAAACGUACCUCUUAUCUUAAAGUUUGAAGUAUGUUUUUUUAGUUUAAUCAAAAAGCAUAUAUUCGAGUAACAGUUCUUUUUCUCAAAAUAAUUUUGUGAAAACUUGUAAAAAAAAAAAAAAAAAAAAAAAAAGAACUAUAAUAUUUACUCCUAAUGAAAGUAUUAUAAAUGCUCUUUCAGUAUUUGGUUCAAAAAAUUGUAAUAAAAGUAAUAAUUACAAUAAUAAAAUAAUAUUGUUAACAUAUUAAAACCAGACAGUGGAAAAAAAAAAAAAAUAUAAAUAAAUAUAUA